UUAAAAAGCUCGUAGUUGAAUUUCGAGACCGGCUUACUGGUCGUGCUUUUGUACGUACUGGUAUAAUCGGUUUCUCCUUUCUGACGAACUAUAAUGCCAUUAAUUUGGUGUUAUAGGGAAUCAGGACUGUUACUUUGAAAAAAUUAGAGUGUUUAAAGCAGGCUCACGCUUGAAUACAUUAGCAUGGAAUAACGGAAUAGGACGUUUGAUUCUAUUUUGUUGGUUUCUAGGAUCGACGUAAUGAUUAAUAGGGAUAGUUGGGGG
RNAcentral lists this ribosomal RNA (264 nucleotides) under uncultured Glomus. RNAcentral describes it as "partial 18S ribosomal RNA". It matches the Rfam family "Eukaryotic small subunit ribosomal RNA", at positions 619 to 888 of the family's 1831-position model. Lineage: Eukaryota; Fungi; Glomeromycota; Glomeromycetes; Glomerales; Glomeraceae. The record is from RNAcentral.